RNAcentral lists this ribosomal RNA (324 nucleotides) under Clostridioides difficile. Its description in RNAcentral is "bacterial SSU rRNA". It matches the Rfam family "Bacterial small subunit ribosomal RNA", at positions 1 to 332 of the family's 1533-position model. The record is from RNAcentral. Lineage: Bacteria; Bacillati; Bacillota; Clostridia; Peptostreptococcales; Peptostreptococcaceae.
UUUUAUUUGAGAGUUUGAUCCUGGCUCAGGAUGAACGCUGGCGGCGUGCCUAACACAUGCAAGUUGAGCGAUUUACUUCGGUAAAGAGCGGCGGACGGGUGAGUAACGCGUGGGUAACCUACCCUGUACACACGGAUAACAUACCGAAAGGUAUGCUAAUACGGGAUAAUAUAUUUGAGAGGCAUCUCUUGAAUAUCAAAGGUGAGCCAGUACAGGAUGGACCCGCGUCUGAUUAGCUAGUUGGUAAGGUAACGGCUUACCAAGGCGACGAUCAGUAGCCGACCUGAGAGGGUGAUCGGCCACAUUGGAACUGAGACACGGUCC